GACGAAGGAUCCAAGCGUUAUCCGGAUUCAUUGGGUUUAAAGGGAGCGUAGGCGGGUUUAUAAGUCAGUGGUGAAAGCCGAUCGCUUAACGAUCGAAUUGCCAUUGAUACUGUAGACCUAGAGUACAGAUGAUGUUGGCGGAAUAUGACAUGUAGCGGUGAAAUGCAUAGAUAUGUCAUAGAACACCGAUUGCGAAGGCAGCUGACAAAACUGUAACUGACGCUGAGGCUCGAAAGUGCGGGGAUCAAACAGG
Molecule: ribosomal RNA, 253 nt
Filed under: uncultured bacterium
Lineage: Bacteria
Description: partial 16S ribosomal RNA
Rfam family: Bacterial small subunit ribosomal RNA
Source: RNAcentral